UUAAUUGAAACCAAAAACAAAAUAGAGGUAUAUCAUUGUUAAUGAUAACAUUGGGAGAUAUUCCCCCGAUUAAG
Molecule: transfer RNA, 74 nt
Filed under: Apogonia splendida
Lineage: Eukaryota; Metazoa; Arthropoda; Insecta; Coleoptera; Scarabaeidae
Description: tRNA-Asn
Source: RNAcentral